AAGAUUGUUUCCAGAGUCAAAGUUAUCUAUUUAUCCACAGAACAGGUAGAGCAAAGGAAGCAGCACUGCAAACUUCCCUACAAUGCCCAAAUGCAUCUCACUCAUGCCUUUCAGUGAGGAACUCUACAUAUGAGCAUGUAAUAUGCUCUUCAUAAUUACUCACACCCUGGCCUUU
This 175-nucleotide small RNA is filed under the name Chrysemys picta bellii (western painted turtle). RNAcentral describes it as "TUC338 (ENSCPBG00000021366.1)". Lineage: Eukaryota; Metazoa; Chordata; Testudines; Emydidae. The record is from RNAcentral.